GGGGGCAUAGCUCAGGGGUGGAGUGUUGGACUGCAAACCAAGAGGUCACCAGUUCGAUUCCAGAUGCCCCCU
This 72-nucleotide transfer RNA is filed under the name Pongo abelii (Sumatran orangutan). It matches the Rfam family "tRNA". Rfam says of the family: Transfer RNA (tRNA) molecules are approximately 80 nucleotides in length. Their secondary structure includes four short double-helical elements and three loops (D, anti-codon, and T loops). Further hydrogen bonds mediate the characteristic L-shaped molecular structure. tRNAs have two regions of fundamental functional importance: the anti-codon, which is responsible for specific mRNA codon recognition, and the 3' end, to which the tRNAs corresponding amino acid is attached (by aminoacyl-tRNA synthetases). tRNAs cope with the degeneracy of the genetic code in two manners: having more than one tRNA (with a specific anti-codon) for a particular amino acid; and 'wobble' base-pairing, i.e. permitting non-standard base-pairing at the 3rd anti-codon position. The record is from Rfam by way of RNAcentral. Lineage: Eukaryota; Metazoa; Chordata; Mammalia; Primates; Hominidae.